CUGCCCUUCUCUCACGAUUGAAACAUCUUCCAGCAGUGACCUGAGAAGCUACGUAUUGACACGGCGCUACCACGGGUGGAGGAGCCUGCAUUGCUGAAUCACAGGAUGAAGGCGAAUCCCUGCCAGCCUCCAUCCAUCUCUGGGGUGCUUAGCAGAAUCCUCAGCUCACAAGAUGAAUAAAUGCAGACUAAAUGAUGCACAAAUAAUCUUCACACACAACCAUCAACACAUGGAAAGACUGCAGGACGGCCAGAUCCCAAGCUAACAAACAGGGGAAGAUGAUGUUUCAAAUGAUCAUCUGAAUGCUGGGUUUCCACCUUCCACCAGGAAGUCAUAUGGUCAAAUUAUCCCGGAUCCUGAAAUAUAUCUUUUGAUAGAAAUGACUCUGGUACUUUCCGCAACUUACUUUCUAUGGAGCACUUUCCUGAAACAAGAUUUGUGUUUAAAUAUUCCUCCUUCUACAAAGUAUUAAACAGUAGUAAGUUCUGCAACGUUGACAAUGGAAACCUGGCAAUGUGCCCUUGUUUGACUAUUAAGGAAUUGCUUCCAAGUACCACAGGGCCUUGAAGACCAAAAUAACACAAUUACCUGGAAGGUGAACAAUGGCAACUUAUCAGAAAAAGAAAAAAAAUGGCAUUAUGAUACAAACAGAAAAUGUAACAGUGGAGUGCAGAAAAUACAAAAAAAAGGAAAAAAUAAAUAGAAAAUCUUCAAAGAGGCAAUCUGUUUAAAUCUUCAAGAACUGGAAACAGUAAAAGUGAACAGGUUUUUAUUGAGCAUGUCAAUAAAAUGUUUGCAUAAGACUUUACAAGUGCUUUAUUUCAUGAGGUUUUUAUUAUUGAUCAAAGCAACGAAAAUGAACGGGAAAUUCAUUCUCAUCAAAUCUACAACUUGGGAGGAGGUCCGAUGAAAUCCCUGGAAGCUCACAUUUUUUAUAAAUGAAGAGUUAAUUACCGGUGGGAACAAUGAGAACCUCUGUGGUUCUUCCUGAUGCUUGGAUCCUCCCAGACCUCUGUUUCCAGUCUCCUUCUCCACAACCUGGCCUAUGCGAUGCAAGUGGUCUAACUGAUCUCCGCCUAGGGAAGGAUCCUUCGGCAACUUGCCGACAAGAGAAGCAGCGAUGCCCGAGGCAGGUCCAAAGGAGCACUGACUGCGUGGGAUUGAUUACACUGGAGGAACAAAAGGUCCUGUGGCUACACAAGUUUGAAAAGCAGAAGGUACAAUCAUUGUAUUUCUGGCAGACUUUUCAAAGACUUUAAUAUAUGAAUCCCUCAUAUGAAUCUCCUGGAGGAUUAUAUAAUAGGCAGAUCUCCCAGCCAUUUUCACUGAACAGUUCUUAGAAUUGGUAUCCUUGAAAAAUUUCACCUAACCACUCAAUAUGGUAGCCACUAGUCCUGGGUGGCUAUUGAGCACCUGAAAUUUGCCUAGUCUGAAUUAAGACACAUUCUAAGAAUAAAGCACACUGUAUUUCAAAGGCAGUACAAAAAUAAAAAAGAAUGUAAGCUGUCUCAAUAAUAAUUUUUGUAUUGAAUACGUGUUGAAAUGAUGUUAUUUUUGAUAUAUUGAGUGAAAUAAAUUGUAUUGCUAAAAUGAAUUUUACUUGUUUUGUUUUACUUGUGCAAUGAGGUUACUAGAUAAUAUAAAAUUCUGUCUGUGGUUUGCAUUAUUUUUCUAGGAUGAUAAUGAGCUAGAGGACAGCAUGUAUGUAAGACCUUCAGGAUUUAGAGUCUGGCUAUCUCUCCAGCUCUCUGUCUAAAUACUGUCUUGCUUUGGGUUCCCAUCUCUCCAGAUCGCUUAAAGAAACCCCUCCCUGUCCCUGCCAACAACCACCACAGCAGACAGCCUGACAUCUCUAUCUCUUGCUCAUUUCAACUUAUGGGAUGACAUCUGGCCAACACUUAUUCAGCCUUCAGGUAUUAAGCAACAAUCACCCACACAGGAAGCCUAUCUGGAAAUCCAGGCACACCUAUCCCCUGGCCUGAU
RNAcentral lists this long non-coding RNA (1983 nucleotides) under Homo sapiens (human). RNAcentral's name for it is "HSALNT0113493". Lineage: Eukaryota; Metazoa; Chordata; Mammalia; Primates; Hominidae. The record is from RNAcentral.